Long non-coding RNA from Perca fluviatilis (European perch), 1113 nucleotides. RefSeq lists it as uncharacterized. The record is from RefSeq and is a predicted model, not a curated record. NCBI's taxonomy places the organism in Eukaryota, Metazoa, Chordata, Actinopteri, Perciformes, Percidae. The transcript is spliced from 3 exons.
UCACAAGGUUUGACUGUUGGAACAGAACAAAGUUCACAUCAUCAACAACAACAGAGGUGGUAUUUCUACCAAUGAGAGAGACAGGGAGAGAAGAAAGCUAAAGAGACGGAUCAAAAAGAAAGAAAGAGAGAGAAUCACAACUUUUACCUCAGGACUGAAGCGACCCUCUUUUCUCCCUGAGGAAUUAUUCUGUGGAUUAGUGAAACCUGAUGUGACACAACCACACCGACUGAAUUCUAAAAAGUUUAAGUCUUGAAGUUAUGUGACUUAAGUACGGACGGACAACUGCCAGGACAACUAUGUAGCAGCAGACAUCUGCAAGUCAUUUCCACCUACAUCCAUUCAAACCUGCCCUUUUGAGGAUCCUGAAAAACUUAUGGAGGUGCUGAGUGGCCCCUGGGCUGAUUUGGCUCUGCUCCUUCGACAGACCAUCAUACAAACAGACAGAGAGACAGACAGCUUUCUUCCUCUCUGGCUGUUUGGCCUGCUGCUGUUCCUGUCUGUCUCUCUGCUGCUGCUGCAAUUGAUUAUCUACCUCAGCUGGAAACUCAGACAGGUUGAGGCUGAUCUCUCGGCGUUUCCGCAAGACAGAAGCGCCAUCUACAGGAAGAUGUGCGGACGCACAAACCAGAGCAGGAGUGUUGGGUCGCACUCUCACACCUGACAGGACACGCACGCACGCACACACACACACACACACACACACACACACACACACACACACACACACACACACACACACACACACACACACACACACAAAAAAACACGAGACACUUAAAAUCUGCUGAAAUGAACACUUGUAGGAUUGUUUCAGGCAGUCCUGCCAGUCAACACGAGUAUCUCUAUAGAGCAAUGUGACCAAUAUCUCAGACAUAAUGCCUUAAGAAGAUGAAUGUUAAAGCCUGCAAAAGAAAAAAAGAAAGAAAAAAAUCACUGUCAUUUUUAGUCCUCCAUACUCUUAGAGAUGUAUUUAUCUCGUUUAAGGGUGGUAGGACAAUCUGUCAACCGGAAAUAAGUGUUUCGUAUAACUGUACAGUUUUUUUGAACAUAUACACACACACACACACAUACAUACAUACAUACAUACAUACAUAUAUAUACACACACACA